Molecule: long non-coding RNA, 872 nt
Organism: Hordeum vulgare subsp. vulgare (domesticated barley)
Lineage: Eukaryota; Viridiplantae; Streptophyta; Magnoliopsida; Poales; Poaceae
Exons: 2
Source: RefSeq, a predicted model, not a curated record
GACCCCACCGCCACCGCCACUCCUUGUGCCAACAUCGCCCAGAUCCACCGCUCAGCUCUGCCCAGCGCAAGCCCUUCCGGCUCCCAGCCAAUCCCCCACCUCCCCUGACUCUCGAGACGGUGGUAUGAAGCCUGCCGGCCUUAUUCCCCCAUAGAUCGGUCGUCCUCUGAUGACCUCAACCCGCCAGAUCACGGGCUUCUUCCAUCACGCCACCCCCGUAGAAGCAGCAACUCUUAGCAGUCACGGCCGACGUCCUCGGCGUGGAUGGCUGUUUCGGCCGUGCAGUUGGCGACGUCUUCCGCCACCUGUGCAUCGAUGACGGCCUUGACAUCGCGUAUGUGCGACAGUACAGGAGGAUCUCUGACAAAGGCUUCCUGCCGGCCGUCAACGACGCGGAGAGCAAGCAAGACCUGAUCGGCUCGCCGGAGAUGCUUCUUCAUGUCCGUGGUCUACUUCAACCCAUUUGCCCUUCGCUGGAAGACGACUGGCCUGUGAGGGCCGACACGACGAGUUCCCGAGCAGUGCCUCGGUCGGAUGGAUGUGCUCAAGUUCAACGCCCUCAUCCCCUCUCCAGUCCCUGCUCGACGCCCCCAUCCCAUUCUGGUCGACGUCCCGAUCCAGCCGCAUGUACGGCUCCCCAGCUCGACAACCUUCAGUUCAGCAGCUCACCUCCCCAAGGAUCAUAGGCCUCCUCACAGCCUCAAGUGGAAAAUCAAGAAAUGAUCCAACAUGGGAGCAAUCUUUGAUUAUUCCGAUGUAGCUUCAUUAUAUUUUUGUGUUAUGUAAUCCGUUGGUCUGAUACUGAUACUGAUAGUUUCUUGUUUGUAUGGUUGGCUGGUUGCAUUAUUCUAUUAUCACACUAAUCGUUUUUA